UUUAAUUCAAGGAAGGGGCCAAUGACUUUAGUGAAUAACCCCAUAAGUAGACGGGUUUGGGGUGCAUUCAGUAGGGGCGUCUGUAUAUCAUUGUUUACCAGGGCAACCCAAUUUUAAAGGGAUUUAUAUUAAUGCAAAAAAGAAACAAAAACAAAUAAAACAUAUGGUAUUAAGAUGUUCCUUCACAAAAGUAUUUUGCUUUUUUUUUUUCGAUUAGCUGACAUAUUCCAUUGUUUGUGAUAGACAUUGUUCCAAAUUUAGCAUUAGUACCUUGGAAUGCUG
Non-coding RNA from Pelobates cultripes (western spadefoot toad), 282 nucleotides. Lineage: Eukaryota; Metazoa; Chordata; Amphibia; Anura; Pelobatidae. The record is from the annotation of a GenBank genome assembly.